RNAcentral lists this ribosomal RNA (465 nucleotides) under Vreelandella stevensii. RNAcentral's name for it is "partial 16S ribosomal RNA". It matches the Rfam family "Bacterial small subunit ribosomal RNA", at positions 338 to 795 of the family's 1533-position model. Lineage: Bacteria; Pseudomonadati; Pseudomonadota; Gammaproteobacteria; Oceanospirillales; Halomonadaceae. The record is from RNAcentral.
CCUACGGGUGGCUGCAGUGGGGAAUAUUGGACAAUGGGCGAAAGCCUGAUCCAGCCAUGCCGCGUGUGUGAAGAAGGCCUUCGGGUUGUAAAGCACUUUCAGUGGGGAAGAAAGCCUUGGGGCUAAUACCCUCGAGGAAGGACAUCACCCACAGAAGAAGCACCGGCUAACUCCGUGCCAGCAGCCGCGGUAAUACGGAGGGUGCGAGCGUUAAUCGGAAUUACUGGGCGGAAAGCGCGCGUAGGCGUUCUGAUAAGCCGGUUGUGAAAGCCCCGGGCUCAACCUGGGAACGGCAUCCGGAACUGUCAGGCUAGAGUGCAGGAGAGGAAGGUAGAAUUCCCGGUGUAGCGGUGAAAGGCGUAGAGAUCGGGAGGAAUACCAGUGGCGAAGGCGGCCUUCUGGACUGACACUGACGCUGAGGUGCGAAAGCGUGGGUAGCAAACAGGAUUAGAUACCCCAGUAGUC